This 66-nucleotide transfer RNA is filed under the name Apilitermes longiceps. Its description in RNAcentral is "tRNA-Arg". Lineage: Eukaryota; Metazoa; Arthropoda; Insecta; Blattodea; Termitidae. The record is from RNAcentral.
AGUGAUGAAGCAAAUAUUGCAAUCAGUUUCGACCUGAUCUUAGAUAUAAUAAUUUAUCCCUCACUU